UUGAACGCUGGCGGUAUGCUUUACACAUGCAAGUCGAACGGGCUAUGGGGCUUGCUCCAUAGUUAGUGGCGAACGGGUGAGUAAUAUAUCGGAACAUAUCCGGAAGUGGGGGAUAACGUAGCGAAAGUUACGCUAAUACCGCAUACGUCCUGAGGGAGAAAGCGGGGGACCGUAAGGCCUCGCGCGAUUGGAGCGGCCGAUGUCGGAUUAGCUAGUUGGUGGGGUAAAGGCCUACCAAGGCGACGAUCCGUAGCGGGUCUGAGAGGAUGAUCCGCCACACUGGGACUGAGACACGGCCCAGACUCCUACGGGAGGCAGCAGUGGGGAAUUUUGGACAAUGGGGGCAACCCUGAUCCAGCCAUGCCGCGUGAGUGAAGAAGGCCUUCGGGUUGUAAAGCUCUUUCAGACGGAAAGAAAACGCAUCGGUGAAUACCCGGUGUGGAUGACGGUACCGUAAGAAGAAGCACCGGCUAACUACGU
RNAcentral lists this ribosomal RNA (480 nucleotides) under uncultured bacterium. RNAcentral's name for it is "bacterial SSU rRNA". It matches the Rfam family "Bacterial small subunit ribosomal RNA", at positions 30 to 506 of the family's 1533-position model. The record is from RNAcentral.